This is a long non-coding RNA of Metopolophium dirhodum (rose-grain aphid), 1167 nucleotides long. RefSeq lists it as uncharacterized. The transcript is spliced from 2 exons. Lineage: Eukaryota; Metazoa; Arthropoda; Insecta; Hemiptera; Aphididae. The record is from RefSeq and is a predicted model, not a curated record.
ACCCGUAGACCUUAUACCUUAUACCUUAUACCUUAUACCUCAUACCUUAUAGUGUAAGGUCUAUGGCCGAGACCCGAGCACCGGCAUGCUUAUCAUGAUAUCAUAUUAAUAAUAUUAUUAUCAUUAAUAUUAAAUCGUGCACGUGAAUGCAGAUACAUAAACAUACAUUUUUAUAAUAUAUCUGUGAUAGACGCAUUGUACAAUUUAGUGCAUUCGCCAUUCGUGCUUUAAGAUUUUAUGAGAAUUACGUACCUUGAACUUCUGAAACCAGUGGAUAAUAUUCAAUAAUAGAAUAUCUUGGAGUGGAGAAAACAGUUAACACAAAUCGACAAAUAUGGGGACCAUCGAAAACCAAAUGAAAGAUGCAUAUGAAAUCACGGAAACUAUUUCAUCUGAACACGUGAAAGAUGAUUACGAUUUGUUUGGCGAACAACUCGCUAACAAGUUAAGGGAAUUUGAUGAACAUACACGUGCAAUCGUUAUGAACGAAAUUAAUUAUAUUAUUUUUCUUGCCGAGUCAAAUUUGCUCUAAUGCAAUGAUCAUCAUUUUUGCCCACUUAAUUUAAAUACAACAAAAUUCAAGUCUCCGACAAUAUUCUCAUAAUGCUCUUUGGUUUCUUCAGAGAAAUUUUCCUUACUUGCCAAUAUUCACAAUGAACUCACCUAUAAAAUAUCUGUCAUUAGAUAGACGAUAGUCAGCUUCACAAUAUUCUCUGCCUAUCAAAGUAGUUAUUCUUUCAAUUCAUCGCUUAUCUGUUGUAUGUGACCAGUUAAUACAAUGAAAAAUACCAAAAAACCCUUAAAAUUGCUUCACAAUAAAAAAAUAUAAUUUAUUUUCUUAAAUAAUAACUGUUGAUAUCAUUUGUUAUUAUAAUAUUAAAAAGAAGGAUAUGUCAAAGAGUUAUUGAUUAUAAGUAAUAAUGUUUAAUAUUAUUUUUCAAAAGAAUGUUUUUUAUUUUAACCAGGUAUCAUGUAUACAUUUAUCUUAAACGUUUAUUUUUUGCCUAUGAAACUAUUUUUAAAAGAUAGUGUAUAGUAAUUCUGCUGUAUAAAUAUAUAAUUAAGUAAAAUCUUUUUAUUAAUUGUUUAGUUGUUUUUUUUCGUGACCAUUAUACUGUUAAAAUAAGUACUUAUUUUAUUAAUUAAAAUUAUAUUUUGAAAUAUUUA